AAGCGGUGGAGCAUGUGGUUUAAUUCGAAGCAACGCGAAGAACCUUACCAAGUCUUGACAUCCCGAUGACUGGGGCGUAACGGUCCCUUCUCUUCGGAGCAUUGGAGACAGGUGGUGCAUGGUUGUCGUCAGCUCGUGUCGUGAGAUGUUGGGUUAAGUCCCGCAACGAGCGCAACCCUUAUCGUCCGUUACUAACAGGUAAAGCUGAGGACUCAGACGAGACCGCCGGGGACAACUCGGAGGAAGGUGGGGACGACGUCAAAUCAUCAUGCCCCUUAUGAUCUGGGCGACACACGUGCUACAAUGGCGGUCA
This 313-nucleotide ribosomal RNA is filed under the name Phocaeicola vulgatus. RNAcentral's name for it is "bacterial SSU rRNA". It matches the Rfam family "Bacterial small subunit ribosomal RNA", at positions 927 to 1239 of the family's 1533-position model. The record is from RNAcentral. Lineage: Bacteria; Pseudomonadati; Bacteroidota; Bacteroidia; Bacteroidales; Bacteroidaceae.